AGUGAACGCUGGCGGUAGGCCUAACACAUGCCAGUCGAACGGCAGCACAGUAAGGGCUUGCUCUUACGGGUGGCGAGUGGCGGACGGGUGAGGAAUACAUCGGAAUCUACUUUUUCGUGGGGGAUAACGUAGGGAAACUUACGCUAAUACCGCAUACGACCUACGGGUGAAAGCAGGGGAUCUUCGGACCUUGCGCGAUUGAAUGAGUCGAUGUCGGAUUAGCUAGUUGGCGGGGUAAAGGCCCACCAAGGCGACGAUCCGUAGCUGGUCUGAGAGGAUGAUCAGCCACACUGGAACUGAGACACGGUCCAGACUCCUACGGGAGGCAGCAGUGGGGAAUAUUGGACAAUGGGCGCAAGCCUGAUCCAGCCAUACCGCGUGGGUGAAGAAGGCCUUCGGGUUGUAAAGCCCUUUUGUUGGGAAAGAAAAGCAGCAGGUUAAUACCCCGCUGUUCUGACGGUACCCAAAGAAUAAGCACCGGCUAACUUCGUG
RNAcentral lists this ribosomal RNA (492 nucleotides) under uncultured bacterium. RNAcentral describes it as "partial 16S ribosomal RNA". It matches the Rfam family "Bacterial small subunit ribosomal RNA", at positions 29 to 507 of the family's 1533-position model. The record is from RNAcentral.